This is a long non-coding RNA of Oncorhynchus keta (chum salmon), 150 nucleotides long. RefSeq lists it as uncharacterized. Lineage: Eukaryota; Metazoa; Chordata; Actinopteri; Salmoniformes; Salmonidae. The record is from RefSeq and is a predicted model, not a curated record. The transcript has 3 exons.
AUAGACUAGAACCCAGGUUGUAUAGACUAGUACCCAGGUUGUAUAGACUAGUACCCACCCAGGUUGUAUAGACUAGUACCCAGGUUGUAUAGACUAGAACCCAGGUUGUAUAGACUAGUACCCACCCAGGUUGUAUAGACUAGAACCCAC